UACGUAGGUGGCGAGCGUUGUCCGGAUUUAUUGGGCGUAAAGCGAGCGCAGGCGGAAAGAUAAGUCUGAUGUGAAAGCCCCCGGCUUAACCGAGGAAUUGCAUCGGAAACUGUGUUUCUUGAGUGAAGUAGAGGUAGGCGGAAUUCCCGGUGUAGCGGUGAAAUGCGUAGAGAUCGGGAGGAACACCAGUGGCGAAGGCGGCCUGCUGGACAUUAACUGACGCUGAGGCGCGAAAGCGUGGGGAUCAAACAGG
This 253-nucleotide ribosomal RNA is filed under the name uncultured bacterium. RNAcentral's name for it is "partial 16S ribosomal RNA". It matches the Rfam family "Bacterial small subunit ribosomal RNA", at positions 524 to 776 of the family's 1533-position model. The record is from RNAcentral.